CCGCCCCCCGGCCCAGCGGGCGGCGCGGCGGUCCCCAGGAAACUCAGAAAAUCCAGAAGUGGUGGGGGUAAGGGACUGAUAAGACUUCAAGCAAAGGUGAGAGUGUCCUCUUGUUAUUUAAAUGAAGCCUUUAUAUGUGCAUAUUGCCCAUUUGGAUGAGAAGUUAUUUCCGUUUUGGACAUUAUCUGUGACAUCCAGCACUAUGCAGCCAUUUUGUGACCAUGAGUGGAGUCAAGCAGAGAGGACAUGCCAACAAGUUGAACAUGACAGAGAAGAAAGAUGGAAAAGAUCCAGGGUCAUUGAAAAAUUAACCAACCUCCAGAUACCACCUCAGGCCUCCUGUUAUAUAAGAGAGUAAAAGUUCUUUUAGCAAAGUUUUCUGCAUUUUGCAACUCAAUACUUCCUUUGUUGUAUACCUGUUGUGGCAGCUCAUCUUAAUAA
Talpa occidentalis (Iberian mole) is the source of this 441-nucleotide long non-coding RNA. RefSeq lists it as uncharacterized. NCBI's taxonomy places the organism in Eukaryota, Metazoa, Chordata, Mammalia, Eulipotyphla, Talpidae. The transcript has 3 exons. The record is from RefSeq and is a predicted model, not a curated record.